RNAcentral lists this ribosomal RNA (774 nucleotides) under Triticum aestivum (bread wheat). RNAcentral describes it as "partial small subunit ribosomal RNA". Lineage: Eukaryota; Viridiplantae; Streptophyta; Magnoliopsida; Poales; Poaceae. The record is from RNAcentral.
AUGGACGCCGUCGUGUUGGGUGACGUUGAUGAUCUCGACUUCGACUUGGGUUUUAUGGACGGGUUCGAGUUCGACCUGCUGGACAUGGACCUCACCGAGUUCUGCCACGGCGACGGCGAGUGCUUGCUGCCUGCCGUGGCCGAUAAGGAUGGCGGUUUGGGUUUGGAUUUAGGUUCUGAUGACGGUGGCGAAGGGGGGAGGGAGAGCUCGCCGGACUCCGUGGUGACGGACGACGGCGCGCCGCCUCUGUCGUUAGAGCCGUCUGGGGAUCGCGACGAUGGCGAGAUGUCGGCCUACGUGGGCGACCUGGAGAGGUUCCUCAUGGAGAGCGAGGAUGACGCGGAGGCCGGCGGGCCGUUCGCGGCCAAGGGGCUUGCCGCCAACGACCACUUGUUCGACGAUCUCGCUGUUGCGGACGGCGGUUACGUCCAGCCGUCGACUGCAGCGGAGGAGUUUGCCGCCGCGGACUACUUCUUGGGUGAUCUCGACGACGGUUACGCUGAGCCGGCGACUCCAGGGAAGGAUCUCGUCCUCGACGACUACUUCUUCGGCGAUCUCGUCUCGUACGACUACUUAUACGAUCCUGCUGUUGGGAGCGAUGGCUGCGUCGAGCCCGCGGCCGUUGCCAGCGUGGACGAUGCUGCAUCAUCGGCGACGGAGGAGGAGGAUGCUGGCGAGUACUACGACGACGACGAAGCGACCUCGAGGAAGCGCGCAAGAGGAAGGGCGGCGCUGCGGUGCCACGCGAAGCAGAGCUCCGGGAAACGCCGGUGA